RNAcentral lists this ribosomal RNA (412 nucleotides) under uncultured bacterium. RNAcentral describes it as "bacterial SSU rRNA". It matches the Rfam family "Bacterial small subunit ribosomal RNA", at positions 355 to 765 of the family's 1533-position model. The record is from RNAcentral.
UAAGGAAUAUUGGUCAAUGGACGCAAGUCUGAACCAGCCAUGCCGCGUGAAGGAUGAAGGUCCUCUGGAUUGUAAACUUCUUUUAUCUGGGACGAAAACGGGAUUUUUAUCUCAAUUGACGGUACCAGAGGAAUAAGCACCGGCUAACUCCGUUCCAGCAGCCGCGGUAAUACGGAGGGUGCGAGCGUUAUCCGGAUUUACUGGGUUUAAAGGGUGCGUAGGUGGGCUAAUAAGUCAGUGGUGAAAUCUCCGAGCUUAACUUGGAAACUGCCGUGCAUACUAUAGGUCGUGAAUUAUCUGGAGGUAAGCGGAAUAUGUCAUGUAGCGGUGAAAAGCUUAGAUAUGACAUAGAACACCAAUUGCCAAGGCAGCUUACUACAUAUAAAUUGACGCUGAGGCACGAAAGCGUGGG